RNAcentral lists this ribosomal RNA (252 nucleotides) under uncultured bacterium. RNAcentral describes it as "partial 16S ribosomal RNA". It matches the Rfam family "Bacterial small subunit ribosomal RNA", at positions 524 to 776 of the family's 1533-position model. The record is from RNAcentral.
UACGUAGGGGGCAAGCGUUGUCCGGAAUUAUUGGGCGUAAAGCGCGCGCAGGCGGCUGUUUAAGUCUGGUGUUUAAGCCCGGGGCUCAACCCCGGUUCGCACCGGAAACUGGGCAGCUUGAGUGCAGGAGAGGAAAGUGGAAUUCCACGUGUAGCGGUGAAAUGCGUAGAGAUGUGGAGGAACACCAGUGGCGAAGGCGACUUUCUGGCCUGUAACUGACGCUGAGGCGCGAAAGCGUGGGGAGCAAACAGG